Molecule: ribosomal RNA, 254 nt
Filed under: uncultured bacterium
Lineage: Bacteria
Description: partial 16S ribosomal RNA
Rfam family: Bacterial small subunit ribosomal RNA
Source: RNAcentral
UACGGAGGGUGCGAGCGUUGUCCGGAAUCACUGGGCGUAAAGGGCGCGUAGGCGGCCACCGCAAGUCGACUGUGAAAUCUCCGAGCUUAACUCGGAAAGGUCAGCCGAUACUGCGGGGCUAGAGUGCAGAAGGGGCAACUGGAAUUCUCGGUGUAGCGGUGAAAUGCGUAGAUAUCGAGAGGAACACCUGCGGCGAAGGCGGGUUGCUGGGCUGACACUGACGCUGAGGCGCGAAAGCUAGGGGAGCGAACGGG